GCCCGGAUAGCUCAGUCGGUAGAGCAGGGGAUUGAAAAUCCCCGUGUCGGUGGUUCGAUUCCGCCUCUGGGCACCA
This 76-nucleotide transfer RNA is filed under the name Escherichia coli. RNAcentral's name for it is "tRNA-Phe". It matches the Rfam family "tRNA". Rfam says of the family: Transfer RNA (tRNA) molecules are approximately 80 nucleotides in length. RNAcentral also lists the same sequence under 3 other names. The record is from RNAcentral. Lineage: Bacteria; Pseudomonadati; Pseudomonadota; Gammaproteobacteria; Enterobacterales; Enterobacteriaceae.